This is a small nuclear RNA of Naja naja (Indian cobra), 188 nucleotides long. Its record names the gene U1. It matches the Rfam family "U1 spliceosomal RNA". Rfam says of the family: U1 is a small nuclear RNA (snRNA) component of the spliceosome (involved in pre-mRNA splicing). The record is from Ensembl. NCBI's taxonomy places the organism in Eukaryota, Metazoa, Chordata, Lepidosauria, Squamata, Elapidae.
GGUCUUGCCUGGCAGGGAAGAUGCUAUGAUCAUCAAAGUGGUUUUCCCAAGGUAGGCCUCAUCAUUGCACUCUGAGCAUGCUGAUCCCCAAAUGAGCAUGCAAAUUCCCCAAUUUCCCCAAAUGCAGGAAACUUGGCUGUAUAAUUUGGGGUGUUGAGAGACUGCUAAUCCACAAAACAUCCUUCUUC